CCUACGGGGGGCGGCAGUGAGGAAUAUUGGACAAUGGAUGGAAAUCUGAUCCAGCCAUGCCGCGUGAAGGAAGAAGGUCCUAUGGAUUGUAAACUUCUUUUGUAUGGGAGCAAUAAGGCCUACGAGUAGGUUGAUGAGAGUACCAUACGAAUAAGCACCGGCUAACUCCGUGCCAGCAGCCCCGGUC
RNAcentral lists this ribosomal RNA (187 nucleotides) under uncultured bacterium. RNAcentral's name for it is "partial 16S rRNA". It matches the Rfam family "Bacterial small subunit ribosomal RNA", at positions 338 to 522 of the family's 1533-position model. The record is from RNAcentral.